Molecule: non-coding RNA, 173 nt
Organism: Arabidopsis thaliana (thale cress)
Lineage: Eukaryota; Viridiplantae; Streptophyta; Magnoliopsida; Brassicales; Brassicaceae
Gene: MIR161
Product: microRNA ath-MIR161 precursor
Exons: 1
Source: RefSeq
UGCUUGAUCUCGGUUUUUGACCAGUUUAUUGCGUCGAUCAAUGCAUUGAAAGUGACUACAUCGGGGUUCCGAUUUUUUUUGUUCUUCAUAUGAUGAAGCGGAAACAGUAAUCAACCCUGGUUUAGUCACUUUCACUGCAUUAAUCAAUGCAUUUGUAAAAAGAGGGAAAAGCA